CAAAUUAAAGUUUUUUUUAAAAAAUAUUUCAUUUACAUUGGAAAGAAAAUGAUUGUUCAUUUAAUUUGA
Molecule: transfer RNA, 69 nt
Filed under: Praezygaena ochroptera
Lineage: Eukaryota; Metazoa; Arthropoda; Insecta; Lepidoptera; Zygaenidae
Description: transfer RNA-Val (GUN)
Source: RNAcentral